AUUGAACGCUGGCGGCAUGCUUUACACAUGCAAGUCGAACGGCAGCGCGGGCUUCGGCCUGGCGGCGAGUGGCGAACGGGUGAGUAAUGCAUCGGAACGUGCCCAGUAGUGGGGGAUAGCCCGGCGAAAGCCGGAUUAAUACCGCAUACGACCUGAGGGUGAAAGCGGGGGACCGAAAGGCCUUGCGCUAUUGGAGCGGCCGAUGUCGGAUUAGCUAGUUGGUGGGGUAAAGGCUUACCAAGGCGACGAUCCGUAGCUGGUCUGAGGGGACGACCAGCCACACUGGGACUGAGACACGGCCCAGACUCCUACGGGAGGCAGCAGUGGGGAAUUUUGGACAAUGGGGGCAACCCUGAUCCAGCCAUGCCGCGUGCGGGAAGAAGGCCUUCGGGUUGUAAACCGCUUUUGUUCGGGAAGAAAACCUCUGGGCUAAUACCCCGGGGGGAUGACGGUACCGGAAGAAUAAGCACCGGCUAACUACGUG
This 484-nucleotide ribosomal RNA is filed under the name uncultured bacterium. RNAcentral describes it as "partial 16S ribosomal RNA". It matches the Rfam family "Bacterial small subunit ribosomal RNA", at positions 28 to 507 of the family's 1533-position model. The record is from RNAcentral.